This 465-nucleotide ribosomal RNA is filed under the name Vreelandella stevensii. RNAcentral describes it as "partial 16S ribosomal RNA". It matches the Rfam family "Bacterial small subunit ribosomal RNA", at positions 338 to 795 of the family's 1533-position model. Lineage: Bacteria; Pseudomonadati; Pseudomonadota; Gammaproteobacteria; Oceanospirillales; Halomonadaceae. The record is from RNAcentral.
UCUACGGGGGGCAGCAGUGGGGAAUAUUGGACAAUGGGCGAAAGCCUGAUCCAGCCAUGCCGCGUGUGUGAAGAAGGCCUUCGGGUUGUAAAGCACUUUCAGUGGGGAAGAAAGCCUUGGGGCUAAUACCCUCGAGGAAGGACAUCACCCACAGAAGAAGCACCGGCUAACUCCGUGCCAGCAGCCGCGGUAAUACGGAGGGUGCGAGCGUUAAUCGGAAUUACUGGGCGUAAAGCGCGCGUAGGCGGUCUGAUAAGCCGGUUGUGAAAGCCCCGGGCUCAACCUGGGAACGGCAUCCGGAACUGUCAGGCUAGAGUGCAGGAGAGGAAGGUAGAAUUCCCGGUGUAGCGGUGAAAUGCGUAGAGAUCGGGAGGAAUACCAGUGGCGAAGGCGGCCUUCUGGACUGACACUGACGCUGAGGUGCGAAAGCGUGGGUAGCAAACAGGAUUAGAUACCCCAGUAGUC